RNAcentral lists this ribosomal RNA (458 nucleotides) under Pseudoxanthomonas sp. IGS89. Its description in RNAcentral is "bacterial SSU rRNA". It matches the Rfam family "Bacterial small subunit ribosomal RNA", at positions 22 to 472 of the family's 1533-position model. Lineage: Bacteria; Pseudomonadati; Pseudomonadota; Gammaproteobacteria; Lysobacterales; Lysobacteraceae. The record is from RNAcentral.
GCUCAGAGUGAACGCUGGCGGUAGGCCUAACACAUGCAAGUCGAACGGCAGCACAGGAGAGCUUGCUCUCUGGGUGGCGAGUGGCGGACGGGUGAGGAAUACAUCGGAAUCUACCUUUUCGUGGGGGAUAACGUAGGGAAACUUACGCUAAUACCGCAUACGACCUACGGGUGAAAGUGGGGGACCGCAAGGCCUCACGCGAUUAGAUGAGCCGAUGUCCGAUUAGCUAGUUGGCGGGGUAAUGGCCCACCAAGGCGACGAUCGGUAGCUGGUCUGAGAGGAUGAUCAGCCACACUGGAACUGAGACACGGUCCAGACUCCUACGGGAGGCAGCAGUGGGGAAUAUUGGACAAUGGGCGCAAGCCUGAUCCAGCCAUACCGCGUGGGUGAAGAAGGCCUUCGGGUUGUAAAGCCCUUUUGUUGGGAAAGAAAUCCUAUCGGUUAAUAACCGGUGGGGA